GUGGAUUAGAUACCCUGGUAGUCCACGCCCUAAACGAUGUCAACUAGGUGUUGGGUGGGUAAAACCAUUUAGUACCGGAGCUAACGCGUGAAGUUGACCGCCUGGGGAGUACGGCCGCAAGGUUAAAACUCAAAGGAAUUGACGGGGACCCGCACAAGCGGUGGAUGAUGUGGAUUAAUUCGAUGCAACGCGAAAAACCUUACCUACCCUUGACAUGUCCAGGAGCCUGAAGAGAUUUGGGUGUGCUCGAAAGAGAACUGGAACACAGGUGCUGCACGGUUGUCGUCAGCU
Molecule: ribosomal RNA, 291 nt
Filed under: uncultured bacterium
Lineage: Bacteria
Description: partial 16S ribosomal RNA
Rfam family: Bacterial small subunit ribosomal RNA
Source: RNAcentral